CGUGGGAACUUGAUUGACAGGUGACGCCACUGUUUGUUAGCCGCUCGGUGGCAGCUAGCUGGUGUCACCUGAAUUAGUCCCCGCUCGGUGAAUGGGACUUCUCGACCGCCGUGUCGGAGGCCUGCGGAGAACAUUUCCAGCCACUACCGGAUGUAUAAUCCGCCUGCUCUGCGGUCAGUCGUCCCAACAGAGAAGUCCGGGAAUCUCGCGCUCCUGUUUUUCCGUUUUCCUCCAGAUGUUGCAGACAGACUGGACCAGCGGAAGCUCAACAUGAGGCCGAACUGAACUGACUCAUCCCUUCAGCACUGACCCCAGGUCCACAUAUGGUUGUCGUCACCACAGUGGAUGAUGAGGACGUCAGUUGCUGCUCUUCCUCACAAAGUGGAA
Long non-coding RNA from Scophthalmus maximus (turbot), 387 nucleotides. RefSeq lists it as uncharacterized. The transcript is spliced from 3 exons. The record is from RefSeq and is a predicted model, not a curated record. Lineage: Eukaryota; Metazoa; Chordata; Actinopteri; Pleuronectiformes; Scophthalmidae.